Vanessa atalanta (red admiral) is the source of this 90-nucleotide small nuclear RNA. Lineage: Eukaryota; Metazoa; Arthropoda; Insecta; Lepidoptera; Nymphalidae. The record is from RefSeq and is a predicted model, not a curated record.
AGGAUAAGGAUAAGGAAGGCGGUUAGCACAUCCCUUUACAAGGAUGAAACACAAUAAAAUGGUGAAGGCAAUAUUUUACCACAUUUUUCA